Molecule: ribosomal RNA, 432 nt
Filed under: uncultured bacterium
Lineage: Bacteria
Description: partial 16S ribosomal RNA
Rfam family: Bacterial small subunit ribosomal RNA
Source: RNAcentral
AAUGAACGCUGGCGGCAUGCCUAACACAUGCAAGUCGAACGAAGGCUUCGGCCUUAGUGGCGCACGGGUGCGUAACGCGCGGGAAUCUGCCCUUGGGUUCGGAAUAACAGUUAGAAAUGACUGCUAAUACCGGAUGAUGUCGUAAGACCAAAGAUUUAUCGCCCAAGGAUGAGCCCGCGUAGGAUUAGCUAGUUGGUGGGGUAAAGGCCUACCAAGGCGACGAUCCUUAGCUGGUCUGAGAGGAUGAUCAGCCACACUGGGACUGAGACACGGCCCAGACUCCUACGGGAGGCAGCAGUGGGGAAUAUUGGACAAUGGGCGAAAGCCUGAUCCAGCAAUGCCGCGGGAGUGAUGAAGGCCUUAGGGUUGUAAAGCUCUUUUACCCGGGAUGAUAAGGACAGUACCGGGAGAAUAAGCUCCGGCUAACUUCGG